This 686-nucleotide ribosomal RNA is filed under the name uncultured bacterium. RNAcentral describes it as "bacterial SSU rRNA". It matches the Rfam family "Bacterial small subunit ribosomal RNA", at positions 28 to 732 of the family's 1533-position model. The record is from RNAcentral.
GAUGAACGCUGGCGGCGUGCCUAACACAUGCAAGUCGAACGGGAUCCCUUGGAUUCGUCUGGGGGUGAGAGUGGCGAACGGGUGAGUAACACGUAGGUGACCUGCCCCAAAGUGGGGAAUAACCGCUGGAAACGGUGGCUAAUACCCCAUGUGCUCGGUGGUUCGUUCCAUCGAGUAAAGUUCCGGCGCUUUGGGAGGGGCCUGCGGCCCAUCAGGUAGUUGGUAGGGUAAUGGCCUACCAAGCCGAUGACGGGUAGGGGGCGUGAGAGCGUGAUCCCCCACACUGGCACUGAGAUACGGGCCAGACUCCUACGGGAGGCAGCAGUGAGGAAUAUUGCCCAAUGGACGCAAGUCUGAGGCAGCAACGCCGCGUGGGCGAUGAAGGCCUUCGGGUCGUAAAGCCCUUUUCUGGGGGACGAGGAAGGACGGUACCUCAGGAAUAAGUCACGGCUAACUACGUGCCAGCAGCCGCGGUAAUACGUAGGUGGCUAGCGUUAUCCGGAUUUACUGGGCGUAAAGCGCGUGCAGGCGGUUCCGUAAGUCGGACGUGAAAGCUCCUGGCUCAACUGGGAGACGCCGUUCGAUACUGCGGGACUUGAGGUCGGGAGAGGGACGUGGAAUUCCCGGUGUAGUGGUGGAAUGCGUAGAUAUCGGGAGGAACACCAGUGGCGAACGCGGCGUCCUGG